RNAcentral lists this non-coding RNA (47 nucleotides) under unclassified sequences. Its description in RNAcentral is "SAM-SAH-Weickhmann-2018 RNA". It matches the Rfam family "SAM/SAH riboswitch aptamer". The record is from RNAcentral.
CUGCCACAACGGCUUCCUGACGUGGCGGUUUUUUCAAUAUUGGAGCA